RNAcentral lists this ribosomal RNA (253 nucleotides) under uncultured bacterium. RNAcentral's name for it is "partial 16S ribosomal RNA". It matches the Rfam family "Bacterial small subunit ribosomal RNA", at positions 524 to 776 of the family's 1533-position model. The record is from RNAcentral.
GACGAACCGUGCAAACGUUGUUCGGAAUCACUGGGCUUAAAGGGCGCGUAGGCGGCUUCCCAAGUCCGGGGUGAAAUCUUUCGGCUUAACCGGAAAAGUGCCUUGGAUACUGGGAGGCUCGAGGGGGGUAGGGGCAAGCGGAACUUCCGGUGGAGCGGUGAAAUGCGUAGAUAUCAGGAGGAACACCCAUGGCGAAGGCAGUUCACUGGCAGUCUCCUGACGCUGAGGCGCGAAAGCGUGGGGAGCAAACGGG